RNAcentral lists this ribosomal RNA (301 nucleotides) under uncultured bacterium. RNAcentral's name for it is "partial 16S ribosomal RNA". It matches the Rfam family "Bacterial small subunit ribosomal RNA", at positions 509 to 807 of the family's 1533-position model. The record is from RNAcentral.
CAGUCGCCGCGGUAAUACGAAGGGUGCAAGUGUUACUCGGAAUUACUGGGCGUAAAGCGUGCGCAGGCGGUUCGUUAAGACAGAUGUGAAAUCCCCGGGCUUAACCUGGGAACUGCAUUUGUGACUGGCGGGCUAGAGUAUGGCAGAGGGGGGUAGAAUUCCACGUGUAGCAGUGAAAUGCGUAGAGAUUUGGAGGAAUACCGAUGGCGAAGGCAGCCCCCUGGGCCAAUACUGACGCUCAUGCACGAAAGCGUGGGGAGCAAACAGGAUUAGAUACCCCUGUAGUCCCUGUCUCUUAUAC